ACCAGCCAGCCACAGGCAUCCAUCUAACUGACCGGGCCAAUGAAAGACGGAAUUCGGAUCCUUUCUUGCAUGAGCCGUGGAUCUGAGUUU
Molecule: long non-coding RNA, 90 nt
Filed under: Felis catus (domestic cat)
Lineage: Eukaryota; Metazoa; Chordata; Mammalia; Carnivora; Felidae
Description: lncRNA (ENSFCAG00000036828.3)
Source: RNAcentral